AGAGUUUGAUCCUGGCUCAGAUUGAACGCUGGCGGUAUGCUUAACACAUGCAAGUCGAACGGUAACAGGCUCUUCGGAGUGCUGACGAGUGGCGGACGGGUGAGUAACGCGUAGGAAUUUGCCUUCUAGAGAGGAAUAACCUAGGGAAACUUAGGCUAAUACUUCGUAAUAUCUACGGAUUAAAGGGUGGGAACUUUUCGGAGUCCAUUCGCUAGAAGAUAAGCCUGCGUUGGAUUAGUUUGUUGGUGGGGUAAAGGCCUACCAAGGCGAUGAUCCAUAGCUGGUCUGAGAGGAUGAUCAGCCACACUGGGACUGAGACACGGCCCAGACUCCUACGGGAGGCAGCAGUGGGGAAUAUUGGACAAUGGGCGAAAGCCUGAUCCAGCAAUACCGCGUGUGUGAAGAAGGCCUGCGGGUUGUAAAGCACUUUCAGUUAGGAAGAUGGGUGUUGUUGUUAAUAGCAGCAACA
Molecule: ribosomal RNA, 469 nt
Filed under: uncultured marine bacterium
Lineage: Bacteria
Description: bacterial SSU rRNA
Rfam family: Bacterial small subunit ribosomal RNA
Source: RNAcentral